Molecule: ribosomal RNA, 527 nt
Filed under: uncultured bacterium
Lineage: Bacteria
Description: bacterial SSU rRNA
Rfam family: Bacterial small subunit ribosomal RNA
Source: RNAcentral
AGGGAAUAGAUACCCAGGUAGUCCUGGCCUUAAACGAUGGAUGCUUGGUGUCUGGAGUUUUAUAGUCUCCGGGUGCCGCAGCUAACGCGUUAAGCAUCCCGCCUGGGGAGUACGGUCGCAAGACUGAAACUCAAAGGAAUUGACGGGGACCCGCACAAGCGGUGGAGCAUGUGGUUCAAUUCGACGCAACGCGAAGAACCUUACCUGGGCUAGAAUGCCUCUGACAGCCGUAGAGAUACGGUCUCCUAGGGAAACCUAGGCAGAGUGCAAGGUGCUGCAUGGCUGUCGUCAGCUCGUGUCGUAAGAUGUUGGGUUAAGUCCCGCAACGAGCGCAACCCUUAUCGAUAGUUGCUAGCGGUUCGGCCGAGCACUCUAUUGAGACUGCCGUUGACAAAACGGAGGAAGGUGGGGAUGACGUCAAGUCCUCAUGGCCUUUAUGUCCAGGGCUACACACGUGCUACAAUGGCCGGUACAAAGCGCUGCAAACUCGCGAGAGGGAGCCAAUCGCAAAAAGCCGGUCUCAGUUC